This 261-nucleotide unclassified non-coding RNA is filed under the name Glomus sp. RNAcentral describes it as "partial contains 5.8S ribosomal RNA and internal transcribed spacer 2". The stretch from base 1 to 65 matches the Rfam family "5.8S ribosomal RNA", at positions 84 to 154 of the family's 154-position model. Lineage: Eukaryota; Fungi; Glomeromycota; Glomeromycetes; Glomerales; Glomeraceae. The record is from RNAcentral.
GUGAAUCAUCAAAUUUUUGAACGCAAACUGCACUCUCUUCGGAGAGUAUGCGUGUUUGAGGGUCAGCCUAUAAAAAUCGACAUCGUCGGUGUUUUGCGGUGGCGUUAGUUGGACAUUGGGUCAUCUUAAAUCAUUUUGAUUUAAGCGAAUUAAAAUUUUGAUUUGGUUUUAUGAAUGUUUUUAAGAUCUAUUUCUUUACAUGUUUAAGGUAUUGAUUUUUACUAGAUGUGACUAUCAUAUCGGACCGCGUGUAUAAUCUUU